AACGAACGCUGGCGGCAUGGAUUAGGCAUGCAAGUUGAACGAACUCCUUCGGGAGUGAGUAGCGGAAGGGUGAGGAACGCGUGAGUAAUCUGCCCCCCAGUUGGGAAUAACAGUUGGAAACGACUGCUAAUACCGAAUGUGGCUUAAGCUUCGCCUGGAGCUUUGGCUAAAGAUUUAUCGCUGGGGGAUGAGCUCGCGUCCCAUUAGGUAGUUGGUGAGGUAACGGCUCACCAAGCCGACGAUGGGUAGCUGGUCUGAGAGGAUGGUCAGCCACACUGGGACUGAGACACUGCCCAGACUCCUACGGGAGGCUGCAGUCGAGAAUCUUGGGCAAUGCGCGAAAGCGUGACCCAGCAAUGCCGCGUGUAUGAUGAAGGCCCUCGGGUCGUAAAGUACUGUCUCCCGUGACGAAAUUUGACGGUAGCGGGGAAGGAAGCCACGGCUAACUACGUGCCAGCAGCCGCGGUAAUACGUAGGUGGCGAGCGUUGUUCGGAUUUAUUGAGCGUAAAGGGUCUGUAGGAGGUUUGUUAAAUACGGGGUGAAAUCCCGAAGCUCAACUUCGGAAUUGCCUUGUAGACUGAUGGACUAGAGUACCGGAGAGGUAAGCGGAAUACCAGGUGUAGCGGUGGAAUGCGUAGAUAUCUGGUAGAACACCAAAAGCGAAGGCAGCUUGCUGGACGGAAACUGACUCUGAAAGACGAAAGCAUGGGGAGCAAACA
Molecule: ribosomal RNA, 720 nt
Filed under: uncultured Victivallis sp.
Lineage: Bacteria; Pseudomonadati; Lentisphaerota; Lentisphaeria; Victivallales; Victivallaceae
Description: bacterial SSU rRNA
Rfam family: Bacterial small subunit ribosomal RNA
Source: RNAcentral